UAAAGAACGGGAUAUUGGUCCGGUUCAAUCAGAAAGUGUGGCGCUCCAGAGCUCGGGUCGCAGCUCUUUUGAUUGAGCCGCGCCAAUAUCACGUUCUGAUCA
Ananas comosus (pineapple) is the source of this 102-nucleotide microRNA precursor. Lineage: Eukaryota; Viridiplantae; Streptophyta; Magnoliopsida; Poales; Bromeliaceae. The record is from Rfam.